CAAGCCUCUGGCGCUGCAUUUGCCAGAAACAAGGCGGGCGAUGAUUGAUAGAUUUACCACACGCAAUUUCGCCUGAUCGUCGAAAUGAAGGUUAAACUUCCUUGGACGUCUGAGCCAC
This 118-nucleotide small nucleolar RNA is filed under the name Caenorhabditis japonica. RNAcentral describes it as "snoRNA CJA48461". It matches the Rfam family "C. elegans snoRNA ceN33". Lineage: Eukaryota; Metazoa; Nematoda; Chromadorea; Rhabditida; Rhabditidae. The record is from Rfam by way of RNAcentral.